RNA transcript from Phacochoerus africanus (Common warthog), 815 nucleotides. It is a transcript of the gene named ubiquitin like 4A, with no coding region annotated. The transcript is spliced from 5 exons. The record is from RefSeq and is a predicted model, not a curated record. Lineage: Eukaryota; Metazoa; Chordata; Mammalia; Artiodactyla; Suidae.
GCGGGGGGCGGUUGGGGUGCGCGCCGGCCGGAGUGGACGCCGCCGCGGCCGCCAUGCAGCUGACGGUGAAGGCGCUGCAGGGCCGCGAGUGCAGCCUGCAGGUGUCGGAGGACGAGCUGGUGUCCACGCUGAAACAUCUGGUCUCCGAGAAGCUAAACGUCCCCGUGCGCCAGCAGCGGCUGCUGUUCAAGGGCAAGGCCCUAGCAGAUGGGAAAAGACUCUCCGAUUACAGCGUUGGGCCCAAUUCCAAGCUCAACCUAGUGGUCAAACCGCUGGAGAAGGUGUUGCUGGAAGAAAGCGCGGCCCGGAGACUGGCUGAGGCCCCGCCCCCAGCCGCCUGGCAGCUGGUCUCCAAGGUCUUGGGCCGCCACUUCAGCGCUGCAGACGCCAGCAGAGUCCUGGAUCAACUGCAGAGGGAUUACGAGCGGUCCCUGAGCCGGCUGACCCUGGAUGACAUCGAGCGCUUGGCUAGCCGCUUCCUGCACCCCGAAGUGACUGAAGCUAUGGAGAAGGGGUUCUCCAAGUAGGAUUCUCGGAGUGUGGGGAGGAGCCUGGCCAGGCCACAAGCUGCAUGUAGCAUUAAAUGUGUUCUCAUGUUGCAAUUUGGCUCAUAACAGUAGCUGGCGGGUACCGGGUACCUGCACCUGGCUCUCGCGUCUGCUUCAUCCCAGGCCUCUGCCUCAGGAUCAGGAGAUGGUUGCCUACAGCUGCCACCACAUCCCUCGAUCACAGCCAGCAAGGAGCACCUUCGCGGCCUGUAGUGUAGCCUCUUCCUCAGAUGCCCCAGCAAAUAAACGCUGUCCUUUCAGACCGAA